AGAAAAUAAGAAUCAAUCCCAGGAUCUAAUGGAGAUCUGGCCAAGCUGAGUGGGUUGUUCAGCACCCUCAGCUCUGUGCUGCAAUACUUCAGGCCCUGGCUCAGAAGGACCAAAACAAAGAAUUGCUCAAAAAUAUUAAAGACAAGAACAAACCCCAAGCCUCAUCUCGUGUGUAUCGUCACACUCGGAAAAAGAACGGGAUGGGAGAAGAUGAUGCUGCUGCAGACGUGGAAGUGCCUGAGCUGGAGAAAUGCAGAGAACAUCUGAAUUCCAUCCUUGCCCACUGGGACCCUGUUUGUCCACACAGGGAGGGGAGACCCUCAGCGCCGGUGGAAUGGUGGAAGAGGAUGCGGACAAGACAGCUGUGUCUGUAUUCCUGACUUCCGUUUACCUUGGAGACAUGUGCCUUGGAACACAGGAGCUGGAUGUGUUACUUACCCGUGUCAGAUUGGUCUGCACUAGUGCAGAUUAUGAGUUACAGGGUGACUCAGACACUCAGAAACAAGGGGAAGAAGCUGUUAUGUCUCUUUGCAAGAAAUUUGGCUCCAUCAGGGCAUUAAUUCAGGGGACUAACACUUCACCUUUAACAUUCUUCUCUGCUCCAUCAGCAUCACUGUGAGAGCCUCCUGAGCUGUUCUCAUAUAGACCUACCUUGUUUGGUCAGAAAAACCAGUAUUUUAUUACUGGGUGCAAACUCGGGGAAGAUUUGAUUCAACAUCUCUCAGUGGGACAUUAAAGCUCCAAUUUCCCUUUUCUUGAACAGUUUGAGAGACAAUACGUAAUGUAAUUACAAUUGUGUAAUUUUUAUUACAGGCAUUUUUAUCUUUUCGAAGAACCAAAAAGACUGUUUGUGCAUGUGUCUCAGCAGCAGGCCCAGCACAGGCAGGCAGGUUUGGAAUUUUCUUUGCUGUGCUGCAGGUGUAUUCAAGACAUGGUUCCUCUUUGUUUGACAGAAGGAAGACAAAAAAAAAUAAUUCUUAGCAAAAGAGGAUGUUUUCUUUCCUGUCUAUCAAGCAGCCAAACACCACCAGCUAGCUAUCCAUAUUUUAAAAUCAGCUGGAGAACUUGCAUCCCAGGGACCUGGGGAGUGUCUGAAGAGAGCUCUGGCCAGCUCUGUUAGCUGUUAAGCAACCUGGAACAGCAGAGAGGAGGCUGGAAGAGUUCCAGUGCCCCAGUACCCAGAGACCCACCUGGUCAGGGCAGGUCACUCUUAGGCAGUGCUGCGACUGACCUGGGCCCAGGCAAAAUCACAGAACUGGAGCUGAGAUAAGACACAACUGAAAAAGUCUUUCAAAGGACAGGGAAGCUAAUUCCCGACUCUGGGUUUGGACAAAGACAAGUGCAGUGACAAUGUCUGAUAUAAUUUUCUGAGGGAGGUGUGAUUGGAAGGAUGAAGGCAGCUGCACAUCUGUACUUUACUGUGAGGGUGCUCGUACCCCACAUCCAAAUACUGAAUGGAGUUCUUCAUGGUGAGAGAUCUGUCUGGAGCCAGCAGGGAGCCCCGGGGUCCUGGAUUGAGUCUCUCCAAGAGCAAGAAACAGGGAUGAGGGAUGAGACAUGCAGAUCUUCCAACUCUCUGGGCAUCCAGCUUGGGUUUCUCUCCAACAUGACACCGUCUGGUAGGAAGGUGAUAGCCAGAAGAAUUGUGUUGUGCAUGGCUAUCAGGAACGCACAGCCUCCAGUGAAGUGCAUGGGACACCUGCAAGGAGCUGGCCCUGUCCUCCUUCUGCUGUGUGAAGUUCCAGCCUCAGCCAGGAACCAUUUCUGGCCACAAACCCUUAUUUUUCUGUGUCAUUUUGGAUGUUAAUACACAUCAUUGAAGCAAAUGUUAAUGCUCUGCAUCCCAGCAGCGUGAUCAUCAGCUGCCUUGGCAGGCAGAUGGGUUUGAAAUCAGUGGUCCCAUAUCAAGGAUUCCAUCCAGGACCUCUCUGUGUCUCAGGAUUCCACUGUGGCCUAAGUAGAGAGAGCUGUUGUGUGGCCUUUGGAAGGCACCAUGGCAGUGCCUGGUUUGUGGGCAGAUGUGCAGUACCUACUUACUUCAUCUCUGGUUAUACUUUGCUGGCGUUGAUCCGGAGCAGAACACACACAGCAAAAUAAGGAAAAGAAACGCCACCAACGCAGCAAGGCCGACCCAAAAGGCAAUGACGAUGGAGUCUGUGGGCACAGCAGGACAGAGCACUCCAAGUGCCAAUUUGUUAAAGGUCUUGGGAGCCUCCAGCAGGGAUGAGGGAAGGGCUGGGAAAAGCCUCCGGAGAGUGUUCUGGUGACUGGACCUGUGCAGAUGUUGGAACGUGGCUCCUUUUACACAACCACAGUGCAGGAAGCCUGAGUGGUUAUUGCCUAAUCCUGCAGGAGCUUUGGGGAGAGGCUCUCAGGAGGGGAAUUCCAGCCUUGAGAGCAGUUUAUACCAAGAGAAAUAGCAAGGGGAGUUUGUUGCCAAGUGCCUGUGCCCCUUCCUGCCAGAGCUCACCCUGGGUCAGGGGUGGCUCCGUGUGGUGGAAAAGUCUCUCCUCCAACCCGAGCUUCCAAAGAAAGGCUCAGCAGUCUCUGUUGUCCGGUCUCAAGGCAGUUUAUUGCAAGUUAUCUAAAAGAUUUUCUCCUUGAGCUGCUGUGGUUUGCUCACAGCUCAGGCAGAGGCACACACACACCCUGACAUCCUCUCUGACUCCCGACUGCUUCUUCUCUCCCCGCCCAGGGCUGCUGCUGCUCUUUUAUAUGGUACAUUACGUGUUACAUGUUUACAGUUUUUCCCCAAUGCCCAUUACCUAUAUUAAAUGGUGCCUUUCUACUCUAAACCAAUCUGUGAGUGCCAACAUCACCAAGAAGAUGGAGGUAAGGAAGAAGAAAGAGGGAGGACAGGACAGGCCCAAAUCCCUCCAUCUUAAAACCUCUGACCCCCAUGUACAAAACCAAAACCCCCCUGUACAGCACUCACAAAUUCUUCCCUCUACUUUGUGACUACUUCUACUAUAAUAUCUAAACUUUUGUGACUUCUUGUUCUUCCUGCAAGGUUGGUAAAUCAUUCCAUGGCUCAAACCCAAAAUCACAGCUGUUUCCAGCUGCCUGCCAGGGUCUCAAAUGCUUCUGACCAGGGCCUGGAACCUCCAGAAAUGUCUGAGGGACAUUUUGAGUUCUGACACCUCCCAGCACAUCAGUGCAGUGGAAGAGAAUGUGCCCUUGCCCUGUUCAGCUGCAGUGCCCCUGCAGCCACCAUGGAAGAGGGCAAGAUGUUGCCUGCUUUGUCAGGAGCAGAUGAUUUAUUUCAGGAACAAGAGGGCUGCAGUGCCAAAGUGUGUCCACAGCUGGUUCAGUGGGAGUGUGAGGUGCUGGGGGAGCAAAGGGAGCUGCUCUUUCAUGGAGGCUUCAGUGCUGUGCCAAUUUUAUUGCCUGAGCCUUGGGCUCACUGAGGGAGGGGACGGAUCCGCUCCCGCUCCCACAGCACCCAAAGGUGCCACUGGUUCCAAAACGCUCCUUCCUGGGGUCACUGUGGUGCUGCUGGGGCCUUGGGAAGUUUGGGUGCUUGCACUCACACCUGGGGGUUCACUUCAGAUGAGGUGGAAAAAGAAGGGUCACUGACUCCAGAGACAAAUACUGACCAAGACAAAAUAAAUCUGAAAGUAC
This is a long non-coding RNA of Taeniopygia guttata (zebra finch), 3621 nucleotides long. The record is from Ensembl. Lineage: Eukaryota; Metazoa; Chordata; Aves; Passeriformes; Estrildidae.